RNAcentral lists this long non-coding RNA (815 nucleotides) under Leguminivora glycinivorella. RNAcentral's name for it is "uncharacterized LOC125235489". Lineage: Eukaryota; Metazoa; Arthropoda; Insecta; Lepidoptera; Tortricidae. The record is from RNAcentral.
UGCUCUCAAAUGAUGCUGACGACAAAGUGAUUCUGUUUUAUCAAACUGAAAAUCCGAAUUAUAAUGUAAAUUGUGAUCUUCGAAAUUGAGGUUAUGAAAUGGACAUAACUCUAUUUAUAAACAAUAUGAACGACCGCGUUGGAGGAUAUGAAUGCAUUGGAACCUUGACAUGUGUUUUACUGUGUUUCUCAUCACGAUAAUAGAAAAUCUAGUGCUCAAAUUCACAAUCUAAUGAACAUACAGCCAUACAAAAGAUGUCUUUAUGAGCAAUGCCUCCACUGACAAAGUGAAUUAAGUUGCCUACUCGAAAAGCAACUUUGCAAGGAAGCAAGUUUGCUACCCACUGAAAUGUUCCCUUGGUACUUGAUGGAAUUAUGUAAUGAAACUGUCAACCAUUACAAUGUGAUAAAGAUAUUCCUGAUGGCGAUGAGUGAUGACUAACUUUCAAAACUACAAAAGAUGAACCCCUUCCACUUCUAGAAUGUGAAGAAUGCUGCCAUAUUACCGGCCCAUAUGAUCAUCAUGACAACUGUCUACCGUUGUCUACCCCGAUACAAGGAAAAUUACAAAUGUGUUGCUAAGCUUAAUAUUAGAUGACUAGAAGCAGUUAGAAGAAUAAAGAAUGGUUCCGGAGUUUUACAAUGGCCGACUAACUUUUGAUGACUGAUGCAGAUGACUAUGCCAGCAAAAGAUGGAUAACAGAUGUACUUCGAAUAGCAAUAUGACUAAAGCACUGUCUUACAUGAUUAAGACUAGAAUAUUGAAUAUGUAAUUAAAGUUUAAGUUGUAAAAUGAUAAUGUGGAUUUCAUAUAUA